Molecule: ribosomal RNA, 331 nt
Filed under: uncultured eukaryote
Lineage: Eukaryota
Description: partial 18S ribosomal RNA
Rfam family: Eukaryotic small subunit ribosomal RNA
Source: RNAcentral
CCCUUAGAUGUUCUGGGCCGCACGCGCGCUACACUGACGGAGGCAGCGAGUAUGUCCUUCGCCGAGAGGUGUGGGGAAUCUUGUGAGUCUCCGUCGUGCUGGGGAUAGAUGGUUGCAAUUGUCGAUCUUGAACGAGGAAUUCCUAGUAAGCGCGAGUCAUCAGCUCGCGCUGAUUACGUCCCUGCCCUUUGUACACACCGCCCGUCGCUACUACCGAUUGGAUGGCUUAGCGAGAAUUUUGGAUCGGAGCCCGGGUGGUCGGCAACGGUCGCCCGGGAGAUCUGAGAAAUCAUUCCAGCUUGGUCAUCUAGAGGAAGUAAAAGUCGUAACA